GGUUCAAUGGUCUAGUGGUUAUGAUUUCUGUCUCACAUUGAACUACAACUUAUGCGCGCACAGAAGGUCUCCAGUUCGAUCCUGGAUUGAACCA
This is a non-coding RNA of Pholiota molesta, 94 nucleotides long. The record is from the annotation of a GenBank genome assembly. Lineage: Eukaryota; Fungi; Basidiomycota; Agaricomycetes; Agaricales; Strophariaceae.